Molecule: long non-coding RNA, 1542 nt
Organism: Bactrocera dorsalis (oriental fruit fly)
Lineage: Eukaryota; Metazoa; Arthropoda; Insecta; Diptera; Tephritidae
Exons: 3
Source: RefSeq, a predicted model, not a curated record
UUUGUAAUUUUCCCAAAUUUCGUGUGCGGAAUCAUUGCGAAUGUUGGAAGAGUUUUAUUAAAAAAGUGAUGGAUAUGGCUCUUGAAAAUGGUCAGAGAAGUGUUAGAGAGAUGGCAAGAGAGCUCGACAUCUCUCGGGAGGCCGUUCGAAUGAUUUUGGUGGAUAUUUUGGGAAUUAUACGUUCUAAAAUGAAUCCGUGUUUAUAACCAAUUAUUUAAAAAAAUGUAGAAUGUGAAGUUGAAUAUAAAAAUAUAGCUUCUUCACAAAUUUAUUUGUUUUAAUACCGAAAAAUAAAUUAUACAACCAGCGAAUAUAAUUAAUCAUGCAUAUAUAAGUUGGAAGCUUUUAAUCGUUGAAUUUAAUAGUGACCAACAAUUAUAGUUAUUGCUUAAACCAGCGCUUUACCCCGCGUUGAUUGGAAUGUAGUAAGAGAGCUGCAACACUAACUUGUUUUUUGUAUCUAAAAGUGAACUUAUAAUAUAUUGUACCAACUGGCAAAUCACCAUGUUUAUUCAUAAUUUCUCCGUAUUAUCUGACUUUAACCUGGAGUUGCUUCGCGUUAACUGAACUAAAAGUUAAAGCUUCGUUUGGCUGAGAAACGAAAAACCUAGUUAUAACAAAAUGGCGUCAUUAAGAGCUAUUUUUCGAUAAAGCUUUUAGCUAGUAAAACAAAUAUUAAAUGUAUGAAUAUGCUUUGGCAAGCUAUCUUCGAAUGCUGCAUAAUCUGCUCUAUUACAAAAAUGUAUUGUACUUUGUUAUUUUAGUAAUAUGAACAUUAAAUAACGAUUCAAGUUUUGGUAUAUGUGUACGUUAUUUAUAUUCAAAAUUUAUAAUUUGAAAGUUCAAAGUAAUUAAAUUGUGUAAACAUGUUUACAACAACAAUAGUAAUAACAUUUAUGAAUUCUCUAUUAUGCAAGGCUAACAUCGAUAAUACUCACUAUUUUUUGAAUUUUGGAGUUUAAAUUGAUAAAAUAUGUAUCUUUGAAUAAAAUACAUAUACAUCAUUUUUUAUUUAUAUUGUUGCGCUUUCCACUAUUUUAUAAUUAUCCUUUGCUCAAUAAACAUAUCUAAUAUGUUGAAAAUUUAUUUAUUAAAUGGUUAUUUUAUAAUAUAAGAGUUUUUGCCUAUAAUCCUCUUUUACAAUUCAGAAAACUAUUUUUAAAUAGAAAUGCGGUAAUAUAUUAUAAUAAAACUUGUAGGUAAAAAUCUUAGCACGCAUGCGUAUCGAUUAUUCAUAUAAGAACAAUUGUUGUGUUUAUUUGUAAAGAACAUAGAUUGUGAUAGAUAGAUGAACAAGAGAACGUGUAUCACAUUCUCUGCAUGAACUUUCUCUAUAUUUCUAUGUUCUCUGCUGCUUCGGACUGGGCGGCAUCUAGCGACAAACGCUGCUUCUCGAAAUAAAUGUAUGUGGAAAAUAAAAAAAUAAGAAAUAUACUUUUUUCUAAAAAUAUAUUUCUUGAAAUAAAAGAUUUCACAUUUUAAGACUUCAAUAAUUGUAACAUAAUUUUUAUAUACCAAUUAAAUAAAUAAAUUUAAUAUGAA